This 1648-nucleotide long non-coding RNA is filed under the name Daucus carota (carrot). RNAcentral describes it as "long non-coding RNA (DCAR_LNC007264)". The record is from RNAcentral. Lineage: Eukaryota; Viridiplantae; Streptophyta; Magnoliopsida; Apiales; Apiaceae.
UCAGCCUAAAGAAGACCAGCCUUACAACAGAAAACCAAGGAAGAAAACUUCUAAAGUUUGGGAUUAUAUGGAAGAGACCAAGGGUGGUGCUAAAGUAGGUUCAAAAUGAAAAUUAUGUGCUCAAGAAUUUUUGAAAGACGAGAGUUCUUCGACUUCUGCAAUGAAGAGGCAUUUGGAAAAGUGUGUAAAAGAACAUGGUGGAACCCUACAAACACAGCUUCAAUUUCAGCGAGGUUCCAAUGAUGAGGUAAAGAUUUCUAUUUUUCAAUAUGACCAUGCUUUAAUGAGAGAAAAGAUAUCUCAUUAUGUUAUGAUUAAUGAGUUACCUUUCAUGCACGUCGAGAGUUUCAUGUUCAAUGAUAUUAUGAAAACAGCUACGCCUUUAUACCAAAAGAUAACGAGAGGGACACUAAAAGGUGACUGUUAUAGCACAUAUGAAAUUGAGAAGAAACAAUUAAAGGAGAAGUUCAAAUCUGCCUAAAAGGUUAAUAUAACUACUGAUAUGUGGACUUCUUCCUGUCAAAAGCUCGGAUAUAUGGUCAUUACCACUCAUUGGAUUGAUACAGAUUGGAUAUUAAAUUCUAGGGUUCUUAACUUUUGUAAUGUUCCCCCACCUCAUUCUGGACAUAUAAUUGUUGAUGCACUAUAUAAAUGCCUAGUUCAUUGUGGAAUUGAAGAUAAAAUUGGUACUGUGACGAUUGAUAAUGCUAGGGCUAAUGAUGUCGCCAUCAGGACUUUGAAGGAUUCUUUUAGCCUUAGAAAUUCAAAGCCAUUACCUAUUGAUGGGCAGUUAUUUCAUGUGCGAUGUUGCGCACACAUUCUGAAUCUUUGUGUUCAAGAUGGACUUAAGCCUAUUACUCAGAUUGUGAAUAGAAUUAGGGAUGGGGUAAAAUAUGUUAGUUCUUCAGAAGGCCGGCUGAUUAAGUUUGCUGAAAUAGCUAAGUUAUUGCAACUUAAAUCAAAAAAGCUAAUUCUCGAUGUUUCCACUAGAUGGAAUUAUACUUAUUACAUGCUGCAUUCUGCCAUUCAGUUUAGAGAUGUUUUUCCUAGAUUCACAGUUUGGGAUAGGACUUUUUCUGAGUAUGUUCCGAGUAAUGAAGAUUGGGAGAAAGUAAAACAUGUCUGCUUCUUAUUACAUGUAUUUGAUGGUGCCACUAAAAUACUUUCAGGGUACCAAUACCCGACUUCCAAUUUAUUUCUUGCUGAACUCAAAAGGGUAAAAGAAUUAAUUGAUAAAAAAGUCAAUGACUCAAAUUUGUACAUGAGGGAUAUGGCUGAAACAAUGAAGGAAAAAUUUGAUAAAUAUUAGGGUGAGAGUAAUUUGAUGAUGUCUAUUGUGGCUGUGAUGGAUCCGAGGUUUAAAUUAAAUCUUCUUAAUUAUUGUUUUCCUGUUAUUUAUUCGUCCGAAGGUAAAAGUGAUAAGAAACUAGCUCAUUUGAAUGUUAUCUUACAUGAUCUGUAUCAAGAGUACGUUGUUGAAGAUUCUAAAAUGAAAGGGAUGACAUCAUAUUCUAGUCAGAUUUCCUCCUCUGAUAAAUUUCAGUGUUCUGGUGAUAAAGAAAUCCCAGCUGGUAUGAGUGAGUACGGGGCUUUUAUUCGUGAAAGUGGGGCUGCUCUUGAAUCGGUCAAGUCUAAGCCUGAUGACUAC